This 117-nucleotide ribosomal RNA is filed under the name uncultured bacterium. RNAcentral describes it as "partial 16S ribosomal RNA". It matches the Rfam family "Bacterial small subunit ribosomal RNA", at positions 1385 to 1500 of the family's 1533-position model. The record is from RNAcentral.
ACACACCGCCCGUCACACCAUGAGAGUUGGAAAUAACCCGAAGCCUGUGAGCUAACUGUAAAGAGGCAGCAGUCGAAGGUAGAGCCAAUGAUUGGGGUGAAGUCGUAACAAGGUAGC